Molecule: small nuclear RNA, 155 nt
Organism: Callithrix jacchus (white-tufted-ear marmoset)
Lineage: Eukaryota; Metazoa; Chordata; Mammalia; Primates; Cebidae
Gene: U1
Rfam family: U1 spliceosomal RNA
About the family: U1 is a small nuclear RNA (snRNA) component of the spliceosome (involved in pre-mRNA splicing). Its 5' end forms complementary base pairs with the 5' splice junction, thus defining the 5' donor site of an intron. There are significant differences in sequence and secondary structure between metazoan and yeast U1 snRNAs, the latter being much longer (568 nucleotides as compared to 164 nucleotides in human).
Source: Ensembl
GUACUUACCUGGCAGGGGAGAUACCAUGAUCACGAAGGUGGUUUUCCCAGGGCAAGGCUUAUCCAUUGCACUCGAAUGUGCUGACCCCUGCGAUUUCCCCAAAUGUGGGAAACUCAACUGCAUAAAUAAAAGUUAAAAAAUGAAAAAAUUUUUAA